RNAcentral lists this unclassified non-coding RNA (757 nucleotides) under Rhizobiales bacterium CCBAU 25323. Its description in RNAcentral is "partial contains 16S-23S ribosomal RNA intergenic spacer and 23S ribosomal RNA". The stretch from base 643 to 757 matches the Rfam family "Bacterial large subunit ribosomal RNA", at positions 1 to 115 of the family's 2925-position model. Lineage: Bacteria; Pseudomonadati; Pseudomonadota; Alphaproteobacteria; Hyphomicrobiales. RNAcentral also lists the same sequence under 1 other name. The record is from RNAcentral.
UCCUUUCUAAGGAUGAUCCUUCAGCAACUGAACUUGUUCAGUUCUAUCGGAUCUCUUGGAACAUAAGCCGAUUGAUCAGUCGGCAUCUGGCGGGACGCCGCCGUCUUCGUUUCUCUUUCUUCCCGGACGAGCACCGCACACGGUGUGUGCGGCCCUAGAGCGCCGCUAUCAUGUGCUGCGGUCGGGGGCUUGUAGCUCAGUUGGUUAGAGCGCGCGCUUGAUAAGCGUGAGGUCGGAAGUUCAAGUCUUCCCAGGCCCACCACUUUAUCCGCGUGUGAACCAAUGGGGGCCAUAGCUCAGCUGGGAGAGCACCUGCUUUGCAAGCAGGGGGUCGUCGGUUCGAUCCCGACUGGCUCCACCAGUUCGCGUUCACCGCGCAUCGAACGUCCGGGAAAUGAAGUUUCGCAACGAGCCUCGCGGCUUGGUUGCGUGUUGUCUGACAUUGUGAAGAGCGAAUUCGAUUGUACCUGCAUGCCUUACGGCAUGUUGGGCGCAAGCUGCCGGGGCAUGAGUGUGCCGGCGUAACAUCGAAUUCCGAAGCAAGCUGGUCUUUUUGAUCAGAUUGCCGGCGGCUAGCCGGUAGUCUGGAUCUGACCGAUGUUCAUCCGGCGCCGAGCCGGGCGGACAUCGAUAAUGAGAGUAAUCAAGUGUGAUAAGGGCAUUCGGUGGAUGCCUUGGCGCUAAGAGGCGAUGAAGGACGUGGUACGCUGCGAUAAGCUUCGGGGAGCUGCGAACAGGCUUUGAUCCGAGGAUUUCC